AUGGACAUUUAGCAUUCAACACUUUUUAAAAUAACCCGAUGUGCCCCAGGUGGCAUAGUUGUUGGGAAUACAAUGUACAAAACCAUGGAUGUUUUGGUCCCUGCCCAGAUGCAAAGUGCUAAGUGAGGGAAACAGACAAUAAGGACACAGGACUGUAAAAUAAGAGGAUAGCCUAUCAUGGGUCCUGAAUCACAGUGUUCCAUUGAUAGCAGAACAGAUACAGAAAAGGCUAGAGUCCAGGAAAGAGCCAGGCAGAUGGAGGAUAGCACUGGGAAGAGCACACACAAAUUCUUGGAGGUUGAAAAAACAAACAAACAAACAAACAACAACAACAAACCUUGAGAUGUUCCAAGAACAGUCAAGAAGCAAGAAUGAGGAAUCGGAACUGGUGGGGAAAAUGAGAAAUACUGACAUCACAGAGGAACCUCAGAACUGUUCUUGUCACAUGGGCAUGGCAACAAGUCUGGAUUUCUUCCUCAGUGAAAUGGAUAUCCAGUGAAGCAUUUUAAGGGAGCGGAGAGGACCUGAUGGGAUUUAUUACUUUAAAAGGUCACUCUGGCUGCAAUAUGAAGGGUAGAAAGGAGAGAACAGAAGUGCCAGCAAAGUAUCCGGUUAGGAGCCUAGUACCGUCACCCAGGGGAAGGCUGAUGGAGGCUCUGCCCAGGAAGGUGGCAGAGGGGAUGAGGGCAACCUGGACCAGGACUUACUGCUCUCUCCUUUGUCAGCGGAGGAAUCCAACUUGGUGAAGAUCAGAGAAUCCAAAUCCCUUGGAAUGCAG
Molecule: long non-coding RNA, 778 nt
Filed under: Capra hircus (goat)
Lineage: Eukaryota; Metazoa; Chordata; Mammalia; Artiodactyla; Bovidae
Description: lncRNA (ENSCHIG00000005077.1)
Source: RNAcentral